Molecule: non-coding RNA, 434 nt
Organism: Schizosaccharomyces pombe (fission yeast)
Lineage: Eukaryota; Fungi; Ascomycota; Schizosaccharomycetes; Schizosaccharomycetales; Schizosaccharomycetaceae
Source: the annotation of a GenBank genome assembly
AAUUUUGUAUGCUUUGUUAUUGAAAAGAUUGUAAUUUGGGUGCUCCAAUUUACUUAUUAACCAGGAUCACAAAGGAGGUCAUUACAUUAUCGUCAAUUUUGCUUUUAAAGAAGUAUAAACUAGAGUAGCGAGUUACUUUGCGUAAGUGCAUCUAUGGGCAUAUGGCUAACUUUGAAUUUGUCAUGACUUUUAGAACUUGUUAUUCAUCGAUGCAGAUUGUAGUUUAAAGCUAUGUAUUCAUAAAUUAACCACCGGACCUCGACACAUAGUCAGAACUAAAAUUUUCGGUCCCUAACUUUUGGACGAUUUUUAAGAAACAGUUUUCGUCCGGUGUAUUUGUUGAGUGAGUAUUAUUUUAAUGCAUUUGUUUAUUAUGCUUGUAAACAAAUAGUAACUACAUAUGCCGAAAUAGUGUGUUUGAAGGUACUAAUACU